GCACCACAACAGGUGGAGCCUGCGGUUUAAUCGGACUCAACGCCGGGAAACUCACCAGAUAAGACAGCUGAAUGAUAGUCGGGCUGAAGACUCUACUUGACUAGCUGAGAGGAGGUGCAUGGCCGUCGUCAGUUCGUACUGUGUAGCAUCCUGUUAAGUCAGGCAACGAGCGAGACCCACGCCAACAGUUGCCAGCUCGUCCUCCGGGAUGGUGGGGACACUGUUGGGACCGCCUCUGCUAAAGAGGAGGAAGGAAUGGGCAACGGUAGGUCAGCAUGCCCCGAAUUAUCUGGGCUACACGCGGGCUACAAUGGGUGGGACAAUGGGUAUCGACACCGAAAGGUGAAGGCAAUCUCCUAAACCCAUCCUUAGUUCGGAUUGUGGGCUGCAACUCGCCCACAUGAAGCUGGAAUCUGUAGUAAUCGUGUCUCAAAAUGGCACGGUGAAUACGUCCCUGCUCCUU
Molecule: ribosomal RNA, 463 nt
Filed under: uncultured Methanomicrobiales archaeon
Lineage: Archaea; Methanobacteriati; Methanobacteriota; Methanomicrobia; Methanomicrobiales
Description: bacterial SSU rRNA
Rfam family: Archaeal small subunit ribosomal RNA
Source: RNAcentral